CGGAAUUGAGUUUAAAUGAGUGACAGUUUUUGUGAGUUUGUUUGUUUAAAACCCGGAUGUCGUAGUCCCACGGCCUGUUGUCCUUCACACGCGGGUUUCGGGGGUCUCUGUGGACGUUCAAGAAUCCCUGCUGUGUCAGUGGCCGUAGAGGAUUUUGAUUUGUACCUGUUGAGAUCCUCCCUCUGUGUGGGGCUGUGUUACAGGGAGCUCGCUGUGGUUUUCUAAGUAUUGAACAGCCUAUUUUCAACACUCGGGUCACUUCCCAAGACUGAUCUACCUGAGAAGGAAGACCAGAGGAGAAGGAAAGCAAAGAGUCAGAAAUGACACGUUCCCAGGGACAGCUGAUAUUCCAGGAUGUGACCAUAGAUUUUACUGAAGAGGAGUGACUGGACCUCCGUCAAGGGGCAUUGUAUAGGGAUGUGAUGUUAGAGAACUAUAGGAACUUGGCCACUUUGGGUCUUGUGGUUUCUCAGCCAAACCUUGUCGCUUUUCUGGAGCAAAGGAAGGAGCCCAGGAGUAUAAGGAGAACGAAGACAGUGGCCGUAUACCCAGCUAAGACAGCAAAAGAGAUGAUUUAUUGUACACGUUACAUUCAGCCGCAACUGAGAAGAGAACUAGUCCAUAGUUAUCACAGGUCCAGGGCAAAGGAUCAAAAGGGACGGCUUUGAUACGAGCAAGACCACCCGAGAGUUCUCUUUGUUUUCGCAUUAGAGAGACCAAGCCCCAGAACAAUUCACAAGAAACAAGGAACCCAAAUUCUGCGCUACCUGACUCUGCCUCUGAGGGUCUUUGAAACAAUGCAGCAGGAAGACCGGCUUCCAGGAGCCCUGAGCUUGAGCCCUCAGC
Dama dama (fallow deer) is the source of this 846-nucleotide long non-coding RNA. RefSeq lists it as uncharacterized. The transcript is spliced from 6 exons. Lineage: Eukaryota; Metazoa; Chordata; Mammalia; Artiodactyla; Cervidae. The record is from RefSeq and is a predicted model, not a curated record.